CGUCAAACCCUCGUGAGCCUCUGGUACAGGCUGCAGGCGGUCUAUUAUCGUCGAUACUGCUUUGCUAGGUGUUGGAAGCACGUGAUUCCUUGUCGAUUCCCGUGGUGUCGCGAUUCCUGAUGAAAGCGUUAAAUGGUACAUCUUGAAGUGGCGAGAUUUUUUAUCUCAAAUUUGACAGUCAGUGUUCCACUAACCGUUGUAUUGAACGGACGUGUUCUCGUGUCGCUCUGAUUGAGUACAGUACAGUGUAUAUGUCGCAGGGAAAUGAUAAAAAUAAAGAUUUGAUCAAAUCCCUAAGGUAAAUGAUCAAUUUACGGAAGAUGUUAAAAUAACAAUUCUGUGAGAUCAUUUCCCUAAAGAAAGUAAGUGAUUUGAUCAAAUCUCUUAACUGUUUUAGUGAAAAGAUGAAAUAAUAUGAUUUGAUCAAAUCCCUUGACUGUUUUAGUGAAAAGAUGGAAUAAUAUUGUUUAGAUAUUAGAAGUAUUAAUUUAGUAAAUCAUGCGUUAUUAAGUGUAGAGUAGGUAAUACAACAAUAGUCGUAGGCACAUAAAUUAUUUAUUCGAAACUAAUUAGUAAAAGAAAUAGGUACUUAAACUGAUAUUGUAAAACACAAAAAGGAUAUUUUUAGUGAAAUUUUAAAUAUUUUUAGUGAAUGUUGUGACAUGAAAGUAAAACUCCUUAACAUUCGAAAAGCGCGGUCACUCAACUAUCGACAAGAUCGGUGCGGUAGGCAUGGUAAUUGCCAAAAUACCCGCAAGGAGAACCGGCGUCGAGCACGUGCGAUCGCGUUCGAUCCUAGAACUCUGUUCCGAGAUUUGAUACAGAAAAGUCGUACCGAGCUGAGCAAGCGUCACCUUACAUUCUUAUAUUUUACCGUUGUAUUUUGUAUUAUAUUAAUUUAGUUUUAUUUUAAGAAGUGUUUCGACAAGUAGUCGAUUAGCGAAGAUUAUACUUACUGUACGAGCCGUUAUAGAUAGCCGUAAUCCAUCGACAAAUACUUACCAGAUUUAAAGGUCUCGAGUGACUCACUGGAUGUAAAUGACGUCUACGAAGGGGGUCCAGCCUGGACAUGUGCAAUGUGUGUCAAAAUUCUGUGUCAUGGUUACGCACGGCUGGCUGUAUUUGAUGAAUCUCGCGGCGAAGUAGGCUGACAAUGAGCCAAGCUGCGUGCCUUCCUACACGAUUAUCAUCUUUCGGUUUGACGACAGGAAGGCAGAAUCGUUCCGUUUUAGUGGCGAACGUGUAACAGUCGAUGAAAAGGAUGGAUUCGCAGGUGGACUCGCUUAUUACUCGCGCGAACGGUGGCGCAAUCGAUGUUCGCAGUGAGGACUCUCUAUUUCGUCGGGUUGGCGCGCCUUCUGGCAUGCUAAUCCGUCGUUUCUAAUCCUCGGAGGCAUGUCAACACUCGUAAAAAUGGAUCUGAGCUCGCACGUCUAGCUCGUUCCGAUUUUCACUUUCCAUUCUUGAUACGGGAAACGCGUACGGGGACGACGAUCAGCGGAUGACCGGUUUUAUUUCGCGAUCCAUCGACGGCAUAAUGACGUCGUACUUAUUACGACGGUACGGUACCUCGACGGCAUAGUACCGUCGUCGUCUGAUGACACUGGUUUUAUCCAGAGCUGUAAAGUAAUGAUUAUUUUGGAAUUUAUUACAAUUUGGAACAAUUACUUUGGAAUUAGAAAGUAAUUAUUUAAGUCAUUGUUGAUUACUUUUUUUUGUAAUUAUGCAAUACCUUAUUCUUAAUUACUGAGUAAUUCAAUUACUUUUUAAUAAUUACUUAUAACUGCCCAGAUAGUAAUUAAAAAGUAAUUAUAACUACUUUUUUAAAUUACUUUCAAGUAAUUGCAGUUACAUGAACAGUAAUUGUUAAAAGUAAUGAUUACUGACUUCUAAUUACUUUUAAUUACUUUUAGGUAUACUUAACUACUUUAGAUUUGAGAAAAAGUAAUUCAAAGUAAUUACAAAUAAUUGGAAGACAGUAAUCAUUACUUGUAACAAUUACUGUCCAUGUCACUGCAAUUACUUUUAGGUAUUUUUGACUACUUUAGAUUUGAGACGCCUUUUAAUACUUUCUGGGCCGUUAUAAGUAAUUAUUAAGUAAUGCAUGGGAUUACUGGUAGUAAUUAAGUAAUUGGAAAAUACCAUUACAUGCGACAGACUAAUUGUAAUGGCAAUUAUUCAAUUACUUGGUCAAGUAAUUGUAUUGUAAUUGUAAUUAAGAAUUUACAGCUCUGGUUUCAUCGGUAUGGAGAAGCAUCUAUGGUUCUAACAGGUACGAUAACACGACGCCGUACAAUGGAUUCGAGUACCAAAAAUUGGCCAAAAUUAGUAAAAGUUUUCGCAUUUGCACGAAAUUUAUUAUUUAUCUAGACAGCCAGGUACACGAAAAAUUAUAUCGCCACCCCGUAUAUAGCGUGGCGCUACCGCGUAUCUUUUACUCGAGAAACUACGAUUCCAACCUAACCUGAAACUUCUUUCAUUAAUAUCUCAUCACGCCUGCAAUAUUUUCUAAAAUUAAAGGCAUUUUUCUAAUGUAAAUCACAUAUAAGCUUUCGAAUAAACCCAAAAUCAAUCAAAUCGAUCCACGUACAACAGCGAUAUCGUAAUAUCAUGUCACGAUUCAUCUAAAAACUGAAUUUCUGGAUAUAUAUAAUAGCUGGAUGCAGGUUAUUAAGACAGAAAAAAAAAAUUUCACCAGAUACUGCAAGAAAUAAUGCACAAGAGACAGUAAUGUUGCCUUGUAAUACGUGUGUGCACGCAUUAAAAACCAUCAUAGUUAUUUUAACAGUGCAACAUAUUUUUUACCUAUUACAACAAGAAGAGGAUCAUAUAACAUCAUCGAUAAAAGAUCUUUGAUUGAUUUAAGCAGUUACAGUCAUUCCAAUAAGAGGAAACGAAGGGAUGAAUUGCUUCUUUCGCGAAGUAAAUAAUUUGCUGACGAAGCAACAGUAUUUUGGUGCUCUCCAAAAAUAGGAGGUGCCGCUGUGAAAUUCUAGUAUUUUAUCUGACUGAUAUGAGUUACUUGAACUGGAAAUUACGAAUUUGAUAUCAGAAUUGCAAAAUUAAAUAUGCCGGAUCUAAUAAUGUGACAUGUAAUACUAUUAAAUAUUAUUUUAUAAAUGCAUUAUUUACCAUCGGAGUAUGCUGGCGGCAAUAGUUUCAAGAAGGGCGCACCCCGUGAACCCCAAACAGGAUGUCUCACGUUGUUGCAGACACCAGAAGGCGUUCUGUACUUGCUCGGUGGACAGGGUCUGUCCGGUUUGACUCUGCA
Long non-coding RNA from Hylaeus volcanicus, 3271 nucleotides. RefSeq lists it as uncharacterized. The record is from RefSeq and is a predicted model, not a curated record. NCBI's taxonomy places the organism in Eukaryota, Metazoa, Arthropoda, Insecta, Hymenoptera, Colletidae. The transcript is spliced from 5 exons.